Molecule: ribosomal RNA, 525 nt
Filed under: Suterilla julieae
Lineage: Eukaryota; Metazoa; Mollusca; Gastropoda; Littorinimorpha; Assimineidae
Description: partial 16S ribosomal RNA
Rfam family: Bacterial large subunit ribosomal RNA
Source: RNAcentral
AAACAUCGCUCUUUGAAAUAGAGCUAGAUAAAGAGUUGGGCCUGCCCAGUGAUAGAUUUUAAACGGCCGCGGUACUCUGACCGUGCAAAGGUAGCAUAAUCAUUUGCCCUAUAAUUGAGGGCUUGUAUGAAUGGUUUGACAAAAGCGAUGCUGUCUCUGAGGAAUUUUAUAGAAUUUAGUUUUUAGGUGAAGAAACCUAAAUAUAAUUAAAAGACAAGAAGACCCUAUUGAGCUUUAAAAGAGUUUAUUAGUAAAUAUGUUAGGUAGAUUGGAUUUAAUAAAAAAUUUUAGUUGGGGCGACUAAGGAACAUAAAAAGCUUCCUUUGUGGGUGCUAAAACUUACAUGUUUUGAUCCAGUGUGGCUGAUUAGAGGAAUUAGUUACCAUAGGGAUAACAGCAUAAUCUUUUUUGAGAGCUCAUAUCGAAAAAAAGGCUUGUGACCUCGAUGUUGGACUAGAAUAUCCUGAAGAUGCAGAAGUCUUCUAUGGUUGGUCUGUUCGACCAUUAAUAUUCUACAUGAUCUGA